Molecule: ribosomal RNA, 236 nt
Filed under: uncultured bacterium
Lineage: Bacteria
Description: partial 16S ribosomal RNA
Rfam family: Bacterial small subunit ribosomal RNA
Source: RNAcentral
ACGAACGCUGGCGGCAUGCCUAACACAUGCAAGUCGAACGAGACCUUCGGGUCUAGUGGCGCACGGGUGCGUAACGCGUGGGAAUCUGCCCUUAGGUACGGAAUAACCCAGGGAACUUAGAGCUAAUACCGUAUAAUGACUUCGGUCCAAAGAUUUAUUCGCCUAAGGAUGAGCCCGCGUCGGAUUAGCUAGUUGGUGAGGUAAAAGACUCACCAAGGCGACGAUCCGUAGCUGGU